RNAcentral lists this ribosomal RNA (253 nucleotides) under uncultured bacterium. RNAcentral describes it as "partial 16S ribosomal RNA". It matches the Rfam family "Bacterial small subunit ribosomal RNA", at positions 524 to 776 of the family's 1533-position model. The record is from RNAcentral.
UCCGGAGGGGGCAAGCGUUGUCCGGAUUUACUGGGCGUAAAGCGCGCGCAGGCGGUCUCUUAAGUCUGAUGUGAAAGCCCCCGGCUCAACCGUGGAAGGUCAUUGGAAACUGGGAGACUUGAGUGUAGGAGAGGAAAGAGGAAUUCCCCGUGUAGCGGUGAAAUGCGUAGAGGUGUGGAGGAACACCAGUGGCGAAGGCGACUUUCUGGCCUAUAACUGACGCUGAGGCGCGAAAGCGUGGGGAGAAAACAGG